GUGUUCAUCAUCGACGUGUGGCGUGAUGGCAUAGUCUCAUUUUACAUAAAGAAACUGAAAAUAAUUUACUUUAACUGCUAAUACACAAUAGAAAUAACAAUGUUACGUGCGGCUUUCAGAUUAUCGAGCUCCUACGGGUCCACUUGUAAAGAAAUUUUGCAGUUUAAUUCAACCGUUAAAAACCGGCUACCACAAAUCAUCAAAAUGACUUACAAAACAGAACCAACCAACUUCAAAAGUCGUGCAGUCAGUGCAUACAAUGGAGGCAGCAAAGGUGGAUUCGGAGGGGGCCAAAGGAAUGGAGGCUUCAAUCAAAGAAGCAACGACAGGUGGGGCAACAAGGGAGGAUUCGGCGGAGGAGGCCGAUCCGGAGGUGCCGGAGGCCAGAUGAGACCUGUCGAAUGGGACAACAAAAAACUUCGCCCAUUCAAAAAAGAUUUUUAUGAUGAACAUGAUGUUAUCAAGGGAAGAUCAAACCAUGAAGUUCAUGAAUUUAGAUUGUCCAAACAGAUCACUGUAGAAGGUGAAGCACCAAAACCAAUUCAGAAUUUCCAUGAAGCCAAUUUCCCCGAUUAUGUUAUGGAUGCUAUUGUUGCCCAAGGGUAUGAGCAGCCUACUUCUAUUCAAGCACAGGGAUGGCCUAUUGCUAUGAGUGGAAAUGAUAUGGUUGGAAUUGCACAAACUGGAUCAGGAAAGACCCUAGCAUACAUUCUACCAGCUAUUGUCCAUAUUAACAACCAACCAGAAAUUCAGAGAGGAGACGGUCCAAUUGCUCUAAUCUUGGCCCCAACUAGAGAACUGGCACAACAAAUCCAACAAGUAGCCAAUGACUUUGGAAAAUCGUCGCAUAUCCGCAACUCCUGUGUCUUUGGAGGUGCCCCCAAGGGGCCCCAAGCCAGAGAUUUGGAAAGGGGAGUAGAAAUCUGUAUCGCAACUCCUGGACGAUUGAUUGACUUUUUGGAGAGGGGCACCACCAACUUGGAAAGGUGCACAUAUUUGGUCCUGGAUGAGGCUGACAGAAUGUUGGAUAUGGGAUUUGAACCUCAAAUUCGUAAAAUUAUCAGCCAGAUCAGGCCUGACAGGCAAACUUUGAUGUGGUCUGCCACUUGGCCCAAGGAAGUUAAGAAGUUGGCUUCUGAUUUUCUGAACACUUAUGUUCAGCUGAAUGUUGGAUCUUUGGAGUUGUCUGCUAACCAUAACAUUUUGCAAAUUGUUGAUGUUUGCCAGGAACAUGAGAAAGAAAAUAAACUGAACAACCUCUUGCAAGAAAUUGGCAACAAUGCGGAAGAAGGAGCCAAAACCAUAAUCUUUGUGGAAACUAAAAAGAAAGUGGAAGGUAUUACCCGUUCAAUCAGACGAUAUGGUUGGCCAGCAGUGUGCAUGCAUGGAGAUAAGUCCCAACAAGAGCGGGACUAUGUCUUAAAAGAAUUUAGGAAUGGCAAAGCGACCAUAUUGGUUGCCACUGAUGUUGCUGCCAGAGGAUUAGAGGCACAAGCAGGAUAACAGUUGAUUUAGCCCAAAAUUAAAUGAGCUAAAGAUAUGGCAGAUGUUGUGUUCUAAAAAAAAAGUUUAGGAUGCAGUAUAUUGUCUUGCGGGUGCCUCUAUAUGACCAGUGGAAGAUUUUAACGCCGCCUAAAUCGAUAUUAUUCUGACAAUGUAUUUUCCUCCAAUGCCUCCGUGCAGUGUUAUGAAUUUAAAAAUAAAAAAAAUUAAAAGUUGUGAAGAGAGCUGAGAGGAAGGAUUCCAUUCAUCAAAUGGAAUAAAGUCAGACCAAUAACAACUAUAUCUUCCUAUGGUCGAGCAAUUUAAAAAAUCUGCUGAAGUGUUUGAGUAGACCAUUUGAUGACUAAAUAUCAGUAUGGGUCCACUUAAAGCAAAAGAAGCAGAUAUGCUACUAAUUUGUCUUAAAAGUUACUCUAUUGUGAAUUGAAUCUUGAGCCACGAUUGACACUUCCUGGAUUUUCGUUAGAGACUCGAUCAUGAUGUCGAUGGUAUCAAAUAUGUAGUCAACUAUGACUACCCUAACUCUUCGGAGGAUUACAUUCAUAGGAUUGGCAGGACUGGAAGGUCUGACACCACUGGAACUUCAUAUGCAUUCUUUACGCCCAACAACUUCAAACAAGCUAGAGA
This 2130-nucleotide unclassified non-coding RNA is filed under the name Anthonomus grandis grandis. Its description in RNAcentral is "aTP-dependent RNA helicase p62-like". Lineage: Eukaryota; Metazoa; Arthropoda; Insecta; Coleoptera; Curculionidae. The record is from RNAcentral.